This is a long non-coding RNA of Mytilus californianus (California mussel), 900 nucleotides long. RefSeq lists it as uncharacterized. The record is from RefSeq and is a predicted model, not a curated record. The transcript has 3 exons. NCBI's taxonomy places the organism in Eukaryota, Metazoa, Mollusca, Bivalvia, Mytilida, Mytilidae.
UAUUAGUAUCUAUAAUACAAUUCAUUCCACAAAGGAAUUAAAUAAAUCAUUGUGAAUACACAUACAGAUCCUCGUUUUUUUUUAUAACUUGGUUUUCCGGAACCAACUCCGUUAGCGAUGUGAUCCGUGUUCCAUUUAGAUUUGGGCACAGUGCUGCUUCGUGAUCAGUAACCACAUGUGCGAUAUCGGAUGUUUCAUCUAAGUAUUAUUAUUAUAAACAGGAUGUAACUUAUUUGAUACACUUUGGUUGCUGUAGGCCUUUACAAUUAACUGUACAGAAAUGAAGAUGUUUGUUUAAUACCAUAGUUGGAUAAGAAGAUGAUGACUGAUCUUGACAGGUGAUAUAUGAACAUACCAAUGAAAAUUGGCUUUCAAAAAGUUGAAACUUCAAGUGAUAUGGAUAAAAUCUAAAAUGUACAAUAUAUACAGAUAGAAGAGCUAGAAUUAUGUACAACAAAUCUGUUCUGUGGUCGGGUUGUUGUCUCUUUGACACAUUCCCCAUUUCCAUUCUCAAUUUUAAUUGCAUUUUUUUUAUAUAAUAUAUAAUAAAAUAGGUUUAAUACAAUGUUACAAUGUUCACUAUUGAGUAUUGAUAACACGUAGACGGAUUACUAUUUAUUUGAAGUUUUUGAUCGUUUUGUACUGUUGUUACUAGCACCGUCGUGAAGUUUUUCAGUAGGAGUCACUGGUGACUUUUUCUAGUCCACAGCUAGUUGUUGGUUUCACUGGGGUACCAUGAUUUUGGCGUUAGAUAAAGUUUGAACUGUUGUGAAUUUGGUGGUUUGCUGUUGAUCGGAGCUUUUGUUUGGAAUUCAACUAGAUUUGCUAGAUCAUGUAGAUGUAUGUACAAGUUUAUUAUGUUCUCUGCGAGCAGGUUUGAUUUUUGGCCUAGCCGCUUGA